Non-coding RNA from Xyrichtys novacula (pearly razorfish), 10473 nucleotides. NCBI's taxonomy places the organism in Eukaryota, Metazoa, Chordata, Actinopteri, Labriformes, Labridae. The record is from the annotation of a GenBank genome assembly.
CUCUGGACAGAACGCUUGGCUGUCGUAUCAGAUAGUGAAAUCCACUGAUCCGGGACUUUUCACUAUUGGUGUCCACAGUGGAGAGAUCAGGACCCAGCGGGACAUUUCUGAAUCUGACAGCAUGAAACAGAAUCUUGUAGUGUCAGUGAAAGAUAACGGGCAGCCCUCUCUGUCUGCCACCUGUUCCAUGUAUUUACUGAUUUCUGAUAACUUGGCUGAGGUGCCAGAACUGAAGGACAUUUCUUAUGAUGAGAAGAACUCCAAACUGACCUCUUAUCUGAUCAUCGCGCUGGUGUGUGUGUCGACGUUUUUUCUGACCUUCAUCAUCAUCAUCCUCGGUGUGAGGUUUUGUCGCAGGAGAAAGCCCAGACUGUUGUUUGACGGAGCAGUGGCCAUCCCCAGCGCGUAUCUCCCUCCUAAUUACGCAGAUGUUGACGGCACAGGAACUUUACGCAGCGCUUACAAUUAUGACGCCUACCUGACAACAGGGUCUCGAACCAGUGACUUUAAGUUUGUGUCAUCGUACAAUGACAACACACUGCCAGCUGACCAGACUCUGAGGAAAAGCCCAUCAGACUUUGCAGAAGUGUUUGGAGACUGUGACGACUCUCCUGAGGUAGGAAACCUUGCAAGACAGUUUGAUACAAGAGCGUGUUGUAAUCCAACACUUCACACUUUAACAGUCCGUUUUUAAUGUAAAUUUUUAGGUUUGUCGUUUAUUUGUGAGUUUCCUCUGCUUUGCUUGAGUUGGCUGUUUUUUUUUUCUGUGUAGAACUUUUUUUUUCUUUUUAUCUCUGUCCUUGGUUCUGAAACCCAGUUUCUUACUUGAGCAAGUUUUCCAGGACACAUACCAUCAGUCUUUAUUGUUCUUGUCUUUAAAUCUUUGCUUUUCUGAGAUUGUAAUUUGUUUUUCAUUGAAAAAGUAUACGUUCAGUGCUUUAAGUUAUAUUGGAAGUCACAGUUGGACAAUUAAGACAAGAAUAUUUGCAUAAUUUUUGCAGCAGUAAUCUGAUUAUUUUUGAUGAAGUAACAGGUUUGCUGUGAUGCAGAAGUGUCUUCAACAAGCAAUUCUCUACAGUCUCUGUUGAAUAAUGAGAGAUUUGUUAUGUGUCUUUGGUGUUGUUGUUUUUUUUCAGUUUUUAUGAAGUUGCACCAAUCAAAGCCAUGAGCUGUUAUCUACAGUGUACCUUAUAAGACCCUAGGUGGCAUCCCUUCUUAAAAAAAGACAGCUUCCAAAACACGAAGUUUACCCCUUUUUGUAUGGAUCUAUUAACUCUGCAGUGGUAUGCUCAACACUGUUUCAUGCCUGCUCAGGCUUAUGGUUAUUAUUUUAUCUGACAACAGAGUCUUAAACCAGUGACUAUAAGUUUGUGUCAUCAAACAAUGACAGCACAGUACCUGUUGACCAGACUCAAAGAAAAGCUUGAAGGACUUUGCUGAAGUGUUUGGUGACUAUGCCGACUCACCUGAAAUACGAACAAAUACAUUUAGUUUGUGUAGGUAUCUGAUUAUUUAACAGUACUUUCUGAGUUUAUGGUAAAUCUGAUUGCAGUGGAUUGACUGCAGUAACUUGUCGAUUUUUUUUUAAUCUUGACUGUAUCCAAUGCAAAUGACUCUUCUCAUCUGCAAUAUUUGUAAGGUUUUCUUUUGAUGUUGGAGAGGCCCAUUGAAGUGUCAUUUACUUCGUUUUGUGUAUUUCCUUUUAAAGCCUUAGCUAUUUUGGAACUUUUCACAUCUGUAUAUCUUUCUUUCCCUCCCUUCCUCUUUCCUACUUUUUCCCUCACACAACAACAGUGGGAGACUUAUUCUGGAUAUUUGUCAUCAGCUUUGUUGACAAAUUCUGACAAAAUAUCAUUUGGCUUUCUUUAAUAGCCACUUAAGGUAGUGAUCACCUGAAGGACUGAUUUUUAGUUGAUUUUUUUUCUCAGAUUACACUACAUAUUCACUCUGCAUUUCUCCUACAUUGUUAAAAAUGCAAAAUUUUUAAGAUCCGCUUCCUGAAAUCACAGUCCUGUGGCCCUUUCAUAAUUUAAAACAAAGAACCUGAUGCUAGUUUUUAGUGUCAAGCUUUCAAAGCUAUAAAAGGACUUUUUCAGUUUUACAUGAUCCAUACUCUGUAAAUUAUAUAAAGCUCAAUUCUGUCAGGGGUUUGUGGUGUUGUCUGCCAUGUAUUUAGCCCCCCCCCCCCCCCGUAGUUCAGAUAGUGUACAUGCUGUAGAUUCCUAUGAUAAUUACGAGUGUAAUAUCUAUGUUGGUUUCUUGGUAAAAUGGAAUCUAGCUCUUGAAAUUUCAGAUUUUUCCAUAAAUGCAUAUUUUAUUUCCUCUUUUGUGAAUUAAUGUUCACUUUGGAUGUUUCAGGUGGUUUUUGCUGUCAAGUCUCUGGGUUUUUGCCAAAUAUUCUGGUUGUUGGAAACAUUUGAGAGCUUGUGCAAAACUGAAAUAGUGUUGAGAAAACUCACUUUAUUGUCUUCCGUUUUUUGGGGUGUAAGUACUUGAAAUCUGUUAGUUUUGAAAGGACCGUUUUUGUUUGAUCUUCCUAACAUGUCUGAACUCUUUUUGUUACAUUAUAUAUCCUUGAAACAAACGUACUCGUCCUGCUGUUGUUGUGCGGUUGUUUAAAGAUAUGCAGUUUGCAUACAUGCUGUUUGUUGCAGUAUGCAGUCUCUAGAGGAGACUCACGAUGUCGCUGUGCACCAGCUGUAAUACAUGGUGUGUCGACAUCCACCCACUGUUACCAACCUAUAAUCACUGAAGGUGCUGUAGUUGAUCGUCCAGAGAGGCACGGGCUCCUUGUUGUUGGUUGAAGUCCUUUUUUCGGACAUUUUUCCUGCACUAAGAAGUAUUUACUAUUCCAGUUCGGGUUGGUGAUGGCUUUCACGAUGCUAGGAUUACAACGCUUUGCCCUCGGCUUGGUGCUGUUCUCUCUUCAUGUCACCAAUGGAGAUAUCAGCUAUUCUUUUCCGGAGGAGAUGAAACGCGGAUCUGUGAUCGGAAACAUUGUUAAGGAAUUAGGUCUCCAAAAGAACGGACUAUCGACCCGAAAGGCCCGCAUUGACACUGAGGAGAGCGAUAAACGUUUUUGUGACAUAAACCUCCAUAAUGGGGAUCUAAUUCUUGCAGAGAGAAUCGACAGAGAGGGCCUUUGUGGAGACAAAGCAUCCUGCGUUUUGAAACAGGAACUGAUGUUAGAGAAUCCGUUGGAACUGCACAGGAUUAGUCUACAUGUGCAGGAUAUAAACGAUAAUUCACCACAGUUUAACAAGGAGUUGAUCCAAAUAGAUAUCAGUGAAUCGGCAGAUAAGGGAGCUCGUUUUCCAAUAGAGGAAGCACAUGACGCGGACGUCGGUAAAUAUUCAGUUCAGACCUACAGCCUCCAAAAGAAUGAUAAUUUUGUUCUGGGCGUUGGAACAAGUUCUGUGGAGCUCGUUCUUAACCAUGAGCUUGACCGUGAAAAUGUGAAAGAAAUGAAUCUGCUCCUUACAGCUCUGGAUGGAGGCUCUCCUCAGAGAUCAGGUACAGUAGUUAUUCACGUCACUGUACUGGAUGCUAAUGAUAAUGUACCAGUGUUCAGCCAGGCCGUUUACAAAGCCAGUCUGCCUGAAAAUUCUCCACUGGAUACCAUUGUUCUAGCAGUGAGCGCUACUGAUGCAGAUGAGGGAUUAAAUGGGGAUGUUAUAUAUGAUUUUGGACACAUCUCAGAAGAUAUGGGGUCAAUAUUCGCCAUUGAUCAUAAGACAGGGGAAAUACAAUUAAAAAGAGCAGUUGAUUUUGAAAUGGCGACAUCGUAUGAACUGCGUGUCACAGCGAAAGAUGGCUUGGGAUUGACCUCAUAUGCCAAAGUCAUAAUUGAUAUAACAGAUAUAAACGACAACGCUCCGGUUAUAUACCUGAAAUCACUGACGAACCCCAUACCUGAGAACGUGUCACCUGGUACAGAGGUGGGCAUCAUUAACGUGCAGGACAGAGACUCUGAUAGUAACAGACAGGUCCGCUGCUCCAUUCAGCAAAAUGUCCCUUUUAAGUUGGUUCCUUCUAUCAAAAACUAUUAUUCUCUGGUGAGCACAGGACAACUGGACCGUGAACUAGUGUCUGAUUACAACAUUACAAUCAGUGCCACUGACGAGGGCUCUCCACCUCUGUCGUCGUCUAAAACUGUUCAGUUAUCUGUAGCAGACAUCAACGACAACCCACCUGUGUUUGAGGAGCAGUCGUACAGCGCAUAUGUGAGUGAGAAUAACAAAGCUGGCUCCACUUUAUGUUCCGUUAGUGCUCGAGACCCCGACUGGAGACAGAACGGUACAGUGAUUUAUUCUCUGUUAGGCGGUGAGGUGAACGGUGCCCCGGUGUCCUCCUAUGUGUCAGUAAACGGAGACACGGGGGUGAUCCACGCUGUGAGGUCUUUUGAUUAUGAACAGUUCCGGAGCUUCAAAGUUCAGGUGAUGGCCAGAGACAACGGUUCUCCUCCUCUCAGCAGCAACGUGACCGUGAGUGUGUUCAUAUCAGAUGUGAAUGACAACUCUCCUCAGAUCCUGUACCCCGGGCCAGAGGGCAAGUCGUUCAUGACCGAGCUGGUCCCCAAAGCUGCACACGGAGGCUCUCUGGUGUCCAAAGUGAUAGCGGUGGACGCGGACUCUGGACAGAACGCCUGGCUGUCGUAUCAAAUUGUGAAAUCCACUGAUCCGGGACUUUUCACUAUUGGUGUCCACAGCGGAGAGAUCAGGACCCAGCGGGACAUUUUUGAAUCUGACAGCAUGAAACAGAACCUUGUAGUGUCAGUGAAAGAUAACGGGCAGCCCUCUCUGUCUGCCACCUGUUCCAUGUAUUUACUGAUUUCUGAUAACUUGGCUGAGGUGCCAGAACUGAAGGACAUUUCUUAUGAUGAGAAGAACUCCAAACUGACCUCUUAUCUGAUCAUCGCGCUGGUGUGUGUGUCGACGUUUUUUCUGACCUUCAUCAUCAUCAUCCUUGGUGUGAGGUUUUGUCGCAGGAGAAAGCCCAGACUGUUGUUUGACGGAGCAGUGGCCAUCCCCAGCGCGUAUCUCCCUCCUAAUUACGCAGAUGUUGACGGCACAGGAACUUUACGCAGCGCUUACAAUUAUGACGCCUACCUGACAACAGGGUCUCGAACCAGUGACUUUAAGUUUGUGUCAUCGUACAAUGACAACACACUGCCAGCUGACCAGACUCUGAGGAAAAGUCCAUCAGACUUUGCUGAAGUGUUUGGAGACUGCGAUGACUCUCCCGAGGUAGGAAUGUUUGCCAGACACAGUAUAUUUGCUUCAUUUUGUUAGAUCUCUCUUUUGUUAGGUAAUUUGAUAGCAUUAAUAGAGACGGUUAAAUGUUUUUGUCGUUUUGUCGGCACACGAUUUAAGGAACUUGGUUUGCCAUUAUGAAUUCAGUGAAAGAAUACUUUCUUCAGAUUCUGCCUUUUUCUUGUUCGUUCAUUUGUCCCUUUACUGUAGUAUCAUAAUGUGCUUUUUUAAAUAUCAUUGUCAGUUUUUCUGACGGUGUUUAACUUUACAGCGCUGACCCUUCUGUGUUUCGAACCUAACGAAAACACAGGUUGGUGCCUAAUACUUUAAGGUCUUGGUCAGUUGAGGACAUUCCACAAGCAAGUCAGAGUUAGCACUGGUCAAAAACUUGCCGGACCAUUUUGUAUCUUAUUGGCCACAUAGAAAAUGUCACUGUCCUCUGCUUUCAUAAUAUAAUUUACUAUCAGCUGAGUGCGAAGAAAGUAUCUGAACAGAAGCAACAUUAGCUCUUGUGCAGUUCAAAUAAGUACAUAUCAUAUGAUUGCUGUGUUGCACGCUGGUUUAUUCAGUAUGGGAACUCUUGAAGAAAUUGUUCUGUGAUCAUGAGGAAAUUUGUGUUUGCAAGACGUUGUUCUCUCCUUUGUCUCUGUAUAAGAGUUUUCCAGGCAUGAGGCUAUUAGCUUUGAUGAGCAAUUUUGCUACGUUUCUGUUCAGCAGGGUUAAAUAGUUUUGCCUGUGUUCCCCAUACCUUGCUACACAUCCAUUCUUGUCCCACCAGAAACAUUUUGUGGAUUUCUGCUUUCUGUUUUUAAGUCAGUGUGAACUUAAAGAUGAAAGUGUGAUUCAUGUAAAUCUUGUUAUUUUGACGUGGAAUUUGUCUUCGCAUGAUUUGGGCAAAUCAUGUUUUUUGUUGUCUCUGUCCUUGGUGCUGAAUUUCCAUUGCCCCCUGGAAACAGUAUUUUAGAAAACAAAUCCUUUCUGUAUUAUUAAGAAUAUCCAAAAAUUCUUUUUUUUUUAUCUUACUUGACUCAUGCAUCAAUUAUAUUUAGUGUCUUUGAAAAUAUUAGAUUGAGUAUUAAUCACAGGUGUGUGGUCAUUCAGCAGUUUGCAAUGACUGUGUCUUUAGUUGUAUCAUCUCGGGCUCCUACAAGUUUCUGUUUGUUGGUUUUUUAACUUUGUCCUCCAAUGCAGGUCACCCUGUUUAAUGAAGGAUGUUAUAUAGAAAUGUUUGUUUUCCUUUAGGUGUUUGGUUAAUGGACCAUUUAUAAGUUUGCAGGACCACUGACUCCAUCACUUUGACUUUGCUCCAUGGAUUGAUUUUCUUGAAUGUGUUUACUAGUCAUAAGUGAAUGAGCUAAUCUGCACACAGUUUCUGGUAUGAGCAGUUAAUCAGAUUUCCUGUUGAAACAUGUGAGAGUUUGUGUCUUUUUACAUUAUUGUUCUGCAUACUUUUAGGAGGGUUUAUAAAGCAUGAGACUUCAAGCUGAGCUGCAUUGUGUUAAAAAAAACUUGAUUAACAUUCCUUUUUUAAAUAAGAAAUAAAAAAAAUAUUUUCCCUUUCUUCUUUAAACCCUUUAAACACACACUUUCCCCCUUUUUGUCUUUUUAUUAAUCUUUUUAAUCUGUGGUUUGUCUCUUUUUUCUUGGCACUCAGGAAUGUACAAUUAUGAUGCCUACCUGAUCACAGGGUCUUUAACCAGUGACUAAGAGUUUGUGUCGUUUUGCAGUGAAAACUCAAAGUUCAAAAUAUUUAGCUGUUGUUUUUGGAGAGUGUAGUCACCUGUAUGACUGGAUUUUAUUAUACUGAACCUUUUUGUUCAAGCUCCCAAAGUUGUGCUCCCUUUAGUUUGUGUAUACAAUUCUCAGUUCUUUAAUUGUGCUUUUCGUGUCCACAGUUUAUUUGACAUUUGAUAAUUAAAUUUUAAAAUGCAUUUUUUCAGCUUCUUUUUUAAGUUUGAAGAUGGUUCCCUUUAUCAUUGAUAUCUGUUCUUACUUUAAACAUAUAACUCAUACAUCAGUUCGCUUUUUGCACACUGAUGUUUGCUUAUUAGUGCAAUUUUUCAUGUAGCACCAUAACAACAUAUUUUUCCUUUUGUCCUAUUUGUAACAAGCACAGAGACACCAUCACUUAGGAAUGCUCAUCAUGUUCUUGUCUAACAUGUUAAGAUGGUCCACUUCUUUGCAUUUGAAAAUAGUUCUGGCCCAGCUUCUCACUCCAUCAUAUGCUCACUGGACGUUUGCUUUUCUUUUUAUAUUCUAUAUAUUUAUAUUAUAUUCCUUUUAUUUUUUCUGUCUUUGGUGCUGAACAUCAUCAUUGGAUGUUGUAAUGUAUUUUAGAGUUAGUUCAUUUCUCAGUACUAUGCUGUUACUCACUUUAUUUGGUUGGUUUCACAAAACAUUGUCUGACCUUGGUGUCAAAAAAUGUGCCUUUUAAUGCAGUGUAGACACUCUGAACAUGUCACAGUCUGUUAUCUCACUGUUAAAGUCCGAACAGCUGUAUGGUGAUUCUUCUCCUGACAAAGUAAGAACAUUUCAAUGUUUAAUAAAAAAAUAUGAGGGCACGGAAUACGUUUUUUGAUAUGCACAGAAAAGAAAAGUCUGUCUCUCGUUAUUCCUUAGAAAUACUCAUGGUGUCAGUGUGUACUAGCAAACAGGGAAACACAUUCUCCACCCUUCCGCCCAAACGAAUCUACAGCCAGACCUUUGGUGUUGCAUUUGACAAACAGUUUCAUAUAGAGCUGUUUGUGAUUAGUGUUUUCAGCUUUAAUGAAUAAUCGUUGAUAUAUUUUGACCCAAAGUAGCUCUUUUAUAAGAUUUUUUUCAAGCAGAGACAAUGGGAUUUAUGAGAUUGAUGCUGCAUGGCGGCCUAGCUGUUAUUUUUCUCGCCCUCCACCUCGUCUUUGGGGACGUGAGCUACUCCAUUCCGGAGGAGAUGAAAAGUGGAUCUGUAAUUGGCAACAUUGCGAAGGAUCUGGGACUGGAAUCGGGAAGACUGUCGGCUCGCAAUGCCCGCGUUGAUACUGAGGACAACAGUGUGAAGUACUGCAGCGUAAAUCUGAACACCGGAGAAUUAAUGGUUCAAGAAAGGAUCGACAGAGAGGGUCUUUGUGCGAAAAGAGCAUCAUGUGUUCUGAAACAGGAGCUCGUCCUGGAAAAUCCUUUAGAGGUGCACCGAAUAAAUAUUCGCGUUCAAGAUAUCAACGACAAUUCACCUCAAUUUAAAGAAGAGUCGCUUAGAAUUGAAAUUCAGGAAUCCGCGGAUAAAGGUGCGCGUUUUCUCUUGGAUGAGGCACACGAUGGAGACAUCGGGGAAAAUGGUGUUCAGGGCUAUUCUCUUCAACAGAAUGAUCAUUUUAAAUUAAAUAUAAAGACGAAAGCAAGCGGACGAAAAUAUGGAGAACUGGUUUUAGAGAAAGAGUUAGACAGAGAGGACAAAAAGGAGCUCAUGUUGUUACUAACUGCAUUUGAUGGAGGAUCUCCUCGUAGAUCAGGUACAGUCGUCAUACACGUCACUGUACUGGAUGCUAAUGAUAAUGUACCAGUGUUCAGUCAGGCCGUUUAUAAAGCCAGUCUGCCUGAAAACUCUCCUGUAGAUACACUGGUGAUCACAGUGAGUGCAACUGAUGCGGACGAAGGAAUGUAUGGUAACAUCUCUUAUGGAUUUGACGAUGUUUCAGAUGAAAACCAAGUUUUCGCUCUGAACUCCAAGACUGGUGAGGUAACAGUGGCCGGAUCACUUGAUUAUGAAAAAGAAUCGUCAUACGAAUUACAGAUAAGCGCAAAAGACGGACUAGGAUUGGCUUCAUAUGCCACCCUAAUAAUUGAUAUAACAGAUAUAAAUGAUAAUGCUCCAGUGAUAUACCUGAAAUCACUGACGAACCCCAUCCCUGAGAACGUGUCACCUGGUACAGAGGUGGGCAUCAUUAACGUGCAGGACAGAGACUCUGAUAGUAACAGACAGGUCCGCUGCUCCAUUCCUCAAAAUGUCCCUUUUAAGUUGGUUCCUUCUAUUAAAAACUAUUAUUCUCUGGUGAGCACAGGACAACUGGACCGUGAACUAGUGUCUGAUUACAACAUUACAAUCAGUGCCACUGACGAGGGCUCUCCACCUCUGUCGUCGUCUAAAACUGUUCAGUUAUCUGUAGCAGACAUCAACGACAACCCACCUGUGUUUGAGGAGCAGUCGUACAGCGCAUAUGUGAGUGAGAAUAACAAAGCUGGCUCCACUUUAUGUUCCGUUAGUGCUCGAGACCCCGACUGGAGACAGAACGGUACAGUGAUUUAUUCUCUGUUAGGCGGUGAGGUGAACGGUGCCCCGGUGUCCUCCUAUGUGUCAGUGAACGGAGACACGGGGGUGAUCCACGCUGUGAGGUCGUUUGAUUAUGAACAGUUCCGGAGCUUCAAAGUUCAGGUGAUGGCCAGAGACAACGGUUCUCCUCCUCUCAGCAGCAACGUGACCGUGAGUGUGUUCAUAUCCGAUGUGAAUGACAACUCUCCUCAGAUCCUGUACCCCGGGCCAGAGGGCAAGUCGUUCAUGACCGAGCUGGUCCCCAAAGCUGCACACGGAGGCUCUCUGGUGUCCAAAGUGAUAGCGGUGGACGCGGACUCUGGACAGAACGCCUGGCUGUCGUAUCAAAUUGUGAAAUCCACUGAUCCGGGACUUUUCACUAUUGGUGUCCACAGCGGAGAGAUCAGGACCCAGCGGGACAUUUCCGAAUCUGACAGCAUGAAACAGAACCUUGUAGUGUCAGUGAAAGAUAACGGGCAGCCCUCUCUGUCUGCCACCUGUUCCAUGUAUUUACUGAUUUCUGAUAACUUGGCUGAGGUGCCAGAACUGAAGGACAUUUCUUAUGAUGAGAAGAACUCCAAACUGACCUCUUAUCUGAUCAUCGCGCUGGUGUGUGUGUCGACGUUUUUUCUGACCUUCAUCAUCAUCAUCCUUGGUGUGAGGUUUUGUCGCAGGAGAAAGCCCAGACUGUUGUUUGACGGAGCAGUGGCCAUCCCCAGCGCGUAUCUCCCUCCUAAUUACGCAGAUGUUGACGGUACAGGAACUUUACGCAGUGCUUACAAUUAUGACGCCUACCUGACAACAGGGUCUCGAACCAGUGACUUUAAGUUUGUGUCAUCGUACAAUGACAACACACUGCCAGCUGACCAGACUCUGAGGAAAAGUCCAUCAGACUUUGCAGAAGUGUUCGGAGACUGUGAUGACUCUCCUGAG